This 1202-nucleotide ribosomal RNA is filed under the name metagenome. RNAcentral describes it as "bacterial LSU rRNA". It matches the Rfam family "Bacterial large subunit ribosomal RNA", at positions 1731 to 2925 of the family's 2925-position model. The record is from RNAcentral.
AAACUUCGGGAGAAGGGGGCCCGGAAGGUGAAGAAGACUUGCUCUUCUAGCCCGAACGGCCGCAGAGACCAGGGAGAAGCGACUGUUUACUAAAAACACAGGUCCGUGCCAAGUCGCAAGACGAUGUAUACGGACUGACGCCUGCCCGGUGCUGGAACGUUAAGGGGACCGGUUAGCCUCACGGCGAAGCUGAGAACUUAAGCGCCAGUAAACGGCGGUGGUAACUAUAACCAUCCUAAGGUAGCGAAAUUCCUUGUCGGGUAAGUUCCGACCUGCACGAAUGGCGUAACGACUUCUCCACUGUCUCAACCACGAACUCGGCGAAAUUGCACUACGAGUAAAGAUGCUCGUUACGCGCAGAAGGACGGAAAGACCCCGGGACCUUUACUACAGCUUGGUAUUGGUGUUCGGUACGGCUUGUGUAGGAUAGGUGGGAGACUGUGAAGCUGAUACGCCAGUAUCGGUGGAGUCAACGUUGAAAUACCACUCUGGUCGUUCUGGAUAUCUAACCUCGGUCCGUGAUCCGGAUCAGGGACAGUGCCUGGUGGGUAGCUUAACUGGGGCGGUUGCCUCCUAAAAGGUAACGGAGGCGCCCAAAGGUUCCCUCAGCCUGGUUGGCAAUCAGGUUUUGAGUGUAAGUGCACAAGGGAGCUUGACUGUGAGAGUGACAACUCGAACAGGGACGAAAGUCGGGACUAGUGAUCCGGCGGUGGCUUGUGGAAGCGCCGUCGCUCAACGGAUAAAAGGUACCCCGGGGAUAACAGGCUGAUCCUGCCCAAGAGUCCAUAUCGACGGCAUGGUUUGGCACCUCGAUGUCGGCUCGUCGCAUCCUGGGGCUGGAGUAGGUCCCAAGGGUUGGGCUGUCCGCCCAUUAAAGCGGUACGCGAGCUGGGUUUAGAACGUCGUGAGACAGUUCGGUCCCUAUCCUCUGCGCGCGCAGGAAACUUGAGAAGGGCUGUCCCUACUACGAGAGGACCGGGAUGGACGAACCUCUGGUGUGUCAGUUGUUCUGCCAAGAGCACCGCUGAUUAGCUACGUUCGGAAGUGAUAACCGCUGAAAGCAUCUAAGCGGGAAGCAUGCUUCAAGAUGAGGUUUCCAUGGGGUUUACCCCGAGAGGCUCCCAGCUAGACUACUAGGUUGAUAGGCCGGAUGUGGAAGUGCGGUAACGCAUGGAGCUGACCGGUACUAAUAAGCCGAUAAC